GAUGAACGCUAGCUACAGGCUUAACACAUGCAAGUCGAGGGGAAACGAUAUUGGAAGCUUGCUUCCGAUAGGCGUCGACCGGCGCACGGGUGAGUAACGCGUAUCCAACCUGCCCAUCACUUGGGGAUAACCUUGCGAAAGUAAGACUAAUACCCAAUGACGUCUCUAGAAGACAUCUGAAGGAGAUUAAAGAUUUAUCGGUGAUGGAUGGGGAUGCGUCUGAUUAGCUUGUUGGCGGGGUAACGGCCCACCAAGGCGACGAUCAGUAGGGGUUCUGAGAGGAAGGUCCCCCACAUUGGAACUGAGGCACGGUCCAAACUCCUACGGGAGGCAGCAGUGAGGAAUAUUGGUCAAUGGGCGAGAGCCUGAACCAGCCAAGUAGCGUGCAGGAAGACGGCCCUAUGGGUUGUAAACUGCUUUUAUAAGGGAAUAAAGUGAGCCUCGUGAGGCUUUUUGCAUGUACCUUAUGAAUAAGGGCCGGCUAAUUCCGUGCCAGCCGCCGCAGUAA
Molecule: ribosomal RNA, 508 nt
Filed under: uncultured bacterium
Lineage: Bacteria
Description: partial 16S ribosomal RNA
Rfam family: Bacterial small subunit ribosomal RNA
Source: RNAcentral